UUCCUUCUAGUUUUCUAGAUGGCUUCAAUGGAUAUACAUUUUGGUGGAUGUGUCAUUUGCUUCGUGAGUACAAAAGAGUGAAAGGAAACAACAGCCUUCAACACCUCAUCUCUUUAUUUGCACCCUUUCCAAACAUGGUGCCUCUCCCAGACACUCUUUACUUCCCUGACUUCUUUGACUUCACUUUCCUGAGUCAAUGUCAGCAGGACAAAGUCGCCAUUCCACAGCACAGAGAGGCUUUUCAAGAUCUUCGGCGAUGUGUACUCAGCAGUUUUUUGGAGUCUGUAAGGGGUGUUGAUGGCCUCCAUUAGUCCCCACUGAUGAUGUGCAGAUGGACAGCGUAACUUAUUCUUGGUCUGGUCACAUAGGUGUAGAGUAAUCGUGUAGUAAGUGCACAUGUAGAUAUCAACAAUUAAAAUGGUUUCUCUGCUG
Polypterus senegalus (gray bichir) is the source of this 432-nucleotide long non-coding RNA. RefSeq lists it as uncharacterized. The record is from RefSeq and is a predicted model, not a curated record. NCBI's taxonomy places the organism in Eukaryota, Metazoa, Chordata, Cladistia, Polypteriformes, Polypteridae. The transcript has 2 exons.